RNAcentral lists this long non-coding RNA (269 nucleotides) under Elaeis guineensis (African oil palm). RNAcentral's name for it is "long non-coding RNA (EGUI_LNC007067)". Lineage: Eukaryota; Viridiplantae; Streptophyta; Magnoliopsida; Arecales; Arecaceae. The record is from RNAcentral.
UGGCUAUUCCUAUUGUCUAUAGAAGUUUUAUUGAUGUCCUCAGGUUCAUUAAUUGGCCAGAAAUUUGACUUAAGCUCGACUUCUUCAUUGCUAAUGUCAAUGGAUUCAUAAAUUUUCUUUUGAAUUAUAUUUACAUCAAUAUGCUAGGUAGAUUCCUAUUCUAAGUUGAAUAUAUUCAGCUCAAUUGUCAUGCUCCCAAAAGAUAAUUUCAUAAGUCCAUUCCAAUAGUUAAUUUCAGUAUUUGCAGUAGCUAAGAAUGGUCUUCCUAA